AUGGCGUCGUCGGCGGGUGCUCCAGGCGCGGGGGCCGGCGGGGGCGGCAGGAGCAGGGACAUAAGGCUGACGGUGCAGGAGGCGGCCAAGAAGCUGUCCCUGUGGCACACGGCCACGUUCCGCCCCAUAACGACCCACGACGACCUGGAGCCCAUCCUCGCCGCUGCCGGCUUCGUGGCGCUGCCGCUGCCGCCCCCGCCGGAGCCACCCCAGGAUCAGCAGCAGGUUCGCUGGAGGGAGUACACCUUCCUGGGCUGCGGCGGCGGCGGCGGCGGCGGUAAUGCGGUGGUGGGUUGGCUGGGCCCGCGGCCGCGGCUGCCGUACCCGCGCGCGGACGCGCUGCACAUCCGCACGUACCAGGCCUUCCUCGGGGCCGUCGAGGUCUACCUCGGCGCCGCCCGUGUGCCCAACCUCUUCCACGUCAGAUGCAUGCCGGUGACGACGAAGCAGGACAGGGUGUUCGACAAGGUCUUUCGGGCUAUGAGGAACGACCAGGAUGGUAUCAUCGUCUACCGGGAUGGCACCCUUGACGAAGCCACCUUCGCCGCCGUCUGUAGUGAGCACACCCCCGUCGAGGAUGUCGGGUACCACGUCAUUCCUGGCAGUGUUUGCAGCGAGUUCGGCUACCUUCGGCAUAGCAAGAUCCAUGGUGGCAACUUCGACGAGGAGACCUGCAAGGGCUGCCCAGGCCACAAGGAUGUCGUCCGGCUCAAGGACCUCUCCCCCAGAUCCUGCAGAAACAUGUGGGUCUAG
This 753-nucleotide ribosomal RNA is filed under the name Triticum aestivum (bread wheat). RNAcentral describes it as "partial small subunit ribosomal RNA". The record is from RNAcentral. Lineage: Eukaryota; Viridiplantae; Streptophyta; Magnoliopsida; Poales; Poaceae.